CAGGAUGAACGCUAGCUACAGGCUUAACACAUGCAAGUCGAGGGGCAUCAUGGAGUUGCUUGCAAACUCUGAUGGCGACCGGCGCACGGGUGAGUAACGCGUAUCCAACCUUCCCUAUAGUAGAGGAUAGCCCGGCGAAAGUCGGAUUAAUACUCUAUGUUUUCCGUUGCAGACAUCUAAGAUGGAACAAAGGCUUGCCGCUAUAGGAUGGGGAUGCGUCUGAUUAGGUAGUCGGCGGGGUAACGGCCCACCGAGCCAUCGAUCAGUAGGGGUUCUGAGAGGAAGGUCCCCCACAUUGGAACUGAGACACGGUCCAAACUCCUACGGGAGGCAGCAGUGAGGAAUAUUGGUCAAUGGGCGAGAGCCUGAACCAGCCAAGUAGCGUGCAAGGAUGACGGCCCUAUGGGUUGUAAACUGCUUUUAUGCGGGGAUAAAGUUCACUACGUGUAGUGUUUUGUAGGUACCGCAUGAAUAAGGACCGGCUAAUUCCGUGCCAGCAGCUGC
RNAcentral lists this ribosomal RNA (504 nucleotides) under uncultured bacterium. RNAcentral's name for it is "bacterial SSU rRNA". It matches the Rfam family "Bacterial small subunit ribosomal RNA", at positions 25 to 518 of the family's 1533-position model. The record is from RNAcentral.